This 97-nucleotide non-coding RNA is filed under the name Geomicrobium sp. JCM 19038. Its description in RNAcentral is "Glycine riboswitch aptamer". It matches the Rfam family "Glycine riboswitch aptamer". From Rfam's summary of the family: This family represents the bacterial glycine riboswitch. Lineage: Bacteria; Bacillati; Bacillota; Bacilli; Caryophanales. The record is from Rfam by way of RNAcentral. RNAcentral also lists the same sequence under 1 other name.
AUGAUGACAGAGGGAGAGUUCGCAAGUUUCAAAGCGGCGCCGAAGGAGCAAGCACGACAUGUGUGAAUCUCUCAGGCAAAAGUACUUCUGUUUGACG